RNAcentral lists this ribosomal RNA (443 nucleotides) under uncultured bacterium. Its description in RNAcentral is "partial 16S ribosomal RNA". It matches the Rfam family "Bacterial small subunit ribosomal RNA", at positions 338 to 795 of the family's 1533-position model. The record is from RNAcentral.
CCUACGGGGGGCAGCAGUGGGGAAUAUUGGGCAAUGGAGGCAACUCUGACCCAGCAACGCCGCGUGAAUGAUGACGGUCUUCGGAUUGUAAAGUUCUUUUCUAAGGGAAGAAGAAAGUGACGGUACCUUAGGAAUAAGCCUCGGCUAACUACGUGCCAGCAGCCGCGGUAAUACGUAGGAGGCAAGCGUUAUCCGGAAUGACUGGGCGUAAAGGGUGCGUAGGUGGUUUGACAAGUUAGUAGCGAAACUCCGGGGCUCAACUUCGGAACUACUACUAAAACUGUUGGACUUGAGUGCAGGAGGGGCAAUCGGAAUGCCUAGUGUAGCGGUGGAAUGCGUAGAUAUUAGGAGGAACACCAGUGGCGAAGGCGGAUUGCUAGACUGUGACUGACGCUGAGGCACGAAAGCGUGGGGAGCAAACAGGAUUAGAUACCCUUGUAGUC